CCGGCACGGGUGAGUAACACGUAUCCAACCUGCCGUCUACUCUUGGCCAGCCUUCUGAAAGGAAGAUUAAUCCAGGAUGGCAUCAUGAGUUCACAUGUCCGCAUGAUUAAAGGUAUUUUCCGGUAGACGAUGGGGAUGCGUUCCAUUAGAUAGUAGGCGGGGUAACGGCCCACCUAGUCAACGAUGGAUAGGGGUUCUGAGAGGAAGGUCCCCCACAUUGGAACUGAGACGCGGUCCAA
This 239-nucleotide ribosomal RNA is filed under the name uncultured bacterium. RNAcentral describes it as "partial 16S ribosomal RNA". It matches the Rfam family "Bacterial small subunit ribosomal RNA", at positions 100 to 334 of the family's 1533-position model. The record is from RNAcentral.